AUAAUGCUUUGAAUAAAUUUCAAUGGUUUUUUAUUUCAGAUAAUUUCCAGCCGAGAUAUACCGCUCACCGCAAAUCAUCUUUUUUUAAAAACGUUCUGGGAAAAGUUCCGUCACUGGCUUGUUUGCGGAUACUUUUACAUAAGAAAAUUACCUAAUGUUGUUGAAUACAUACUUAAUAAUGUUCAAAAGGUUUUGAUAAAUUAGGCUUGAACUCUCGUGAUGUGGUCCAGUUAGCAACGCUCAGGACUACCAGCCAAGAGAAACAGUGUUCGAACCCAGAAGACGUCCAGGAUUUUUCAUUAUUUUAUGUUAUCAAAUAUUGUUUUGAAAUGUGUAAUGCGUUCGCGCUGUACUAACCAGCUCGAAAAUUCGCUCUAGCACUGUUUUUAGUGCGGCCGCCGGCUACCAGGCAGCGCCAUUUUUUUGGAAAAAAGUAGGGGAGGCGCCCUUGGAGAAUGGCCUUAAUAGCUAUUUUAUUUAAUCUUAAGGUUUACUAAAUAAUCCGAAAAUAACAAGAGCGCAAGAGAUACUUUUUAAUUUGCCUUCAAAUGUAUCUUUAAAUUACUGGAAUACGGAAAAAAGGCCAUUCGGCAGCCAAAAUGGAAGGUAGAUUUUUCAAUCAAUGCCUGUAGAAUAAGUGUGAAAAAUUUCAUUAAGAUCCGAUAAGAACUUUGGGCGCUAUCGUAAUGACCAGACUAGUGAUACUCAUAGGGAGUAGAGGUUAUUUUGUGCAUAAUAAAAUACAACUGACGAAACUGGAUUAUUAUGGGAUAUGGAUAAGACAUGUGGAUUGAAAACCGUAUUUUCAACAUUUUUUAAUUCCAUUAAAAUUUUCAAACCUAUCGAAUUAUUGGAAGAAAUGGUCAAAACAUAAAGUUUAAGGUCAUAAAUUAAAACUGAUUUUUUCGAAAAAUCGUGAAAAUUGAAAACAGCCAUAACUUCUAAACUGAUUGACCGAUUUAGCUCAUCUUCGAACUUAACCUUGACAAUCGCCCAUAGAAUAAGUGUGAAAAAUUUGAUUAAGAUCUAAUAAGAAUUGUAGCCGCAAUCGUGUUCUCAAAACUUGGUUAUGUUACAUAUAUAUAUAUAAAUUUUUUAACGAAUGGUAUUUUCGAACUCUACUCAACUAAUGAUGAUAGGUUAUGACAAAAUUCCUUGAAAAAUUGACUAUAAGGACAAAUACGAAACUUAGAUUUUUAAAAAAAUCUACCUAAUGAGGAAUAAAAAAAAUUGUACGUUGUAAAAUAAGUUACAUUUUCAAUUGCAACACUUACGUACUGUCAGGUAAAUAAGUAUUGAGAGGGUUCUGCGGGCGGAGCUAUAAGGCAGUUAAAGUUAGACAUAGAAAAAGGGUCAAAAGGAAGAAAAUCGCGAGUCUACUGUAAUCGGUUUUUUUAACUUUCCACUAAGAAAAUUGCAAAUUUUCAAAAAUUCGGGAAGUUAUUGGUUUCACCCCGAUUUGUGAAAAUCGAAAUUCCAACAGAUGUCGACGUUUUGAGGUUCUAGGAAGCUAUUCUGACUAAAUUCAAGAUGAUAUGAUAGUGUAUGUAUGAAUGUACGUACGUACAUACAUAUGUAAAUAUUCUGUAACUUUUAAACGGAUGAACCGAUUUUAAUCUUCGAGGUGUCAUUCGACGCGGCUUAUUAUUUACUAUAAACACUGAAAAUUUGAGCUUAAUCGGUAGGGUACGUUCGGAGAUAUUUCAAAAAUAAAACUUUUUCAAAAAUGUUUUUUUUGAAUAACUUUUAAUUCGCUCGAUGGAUUGAUUCCAAAAUCUAAUCAGCUCUAAAACUUUGUAAGCCGCGUCGAAUGCCACCUCAGCUAUCAAAAUCGGUUCAUUCGUUCAAGAGAAACCGUUAAUGAAAGAAUUAAAAAAAAAAAUUUUUUUGUAUUUUGGAAAUUUCUCAAAAAUGACUCUAUAAAUCAAUUUUAAAAUCUGAUCAGUUGUAGAACUCAAUAAAACUCAUAAAAAGCUCGAAGAGCUCGAAAAUGUAUCCACAACAAUUUUUCGAGCUCAAGGAACUCGAAAUGGGCGGGAAGUUUUGGGGCUGGCCCACAGGGUCAACCGACAGACUGAUUUUUUUAAAUGUAACGAGCAAACUUGCAUUUGAGGAGUAACUUUCUUUAUUUUUAAUAACUUUUUCGACGCAUUUAAUUCAUCAACUUUUUCCAAAUUAUCAAAAAAAUUUUCAAAUACCACUGAUCGAUCAUCAGCCUCCGGGAAUUUAUAGAAACCCGCGUUUAAAUUCCUUAUUUGCUUUAGUCCGAUAAUCUCUUACUGCUCAAAAUACUCAACUUCUUUCCUUUUUACGUUCUCUAAAUAUUCUGCCUUCUAUUUUAAUUUUUAUUUCUUAAUAAUUUAUUGUAUAAAAUUUAUUGAUGAUAUUAACAGCAUGCAUUUACUGUGUAUUUUAUUUACUUGACUGUUGUAAGCUAUCAUUAGUUUGACUUUUUACCACCAGACCGCGAGACCCAGUUUGUCAGUUCCCAAAACUCUUAGUUAUUAAUCGAUGUUUUUCAUCGUAAUUAUUAAUUCACACAACUAAAUGAUAAAAUUUAAAUAUUUAAUAGUUUAUAGAAGUAGCUAUCGAAAAAAUUAAUAUAUUUUAUAUUUUUAUCAAUACCAAUGAGAAAUUUCAAUUUGUUAU
Molecule: long non-coding RNA, 2649 nt
Organism: Microplitis demolitor
Lineage: Eukaryota; Metazoa; Arthropoda; Insecta; Hymenoptera; Braconidae
Exons: 3
Source: RefSeq, a predicted model, not a curated record